This 334-nucleotide unclassified non-coding RNA is filed under the name soil metagenome. RNAcentral's name for it is "partial contains 5.8S ribosomal RNA, internal transcribed spacer 2, and large subunit ribosomal RNA". The stretch from base 1 to 120 matches the Rfam family "5.8S ribosomal RNA", at positions 35 to 154 of the family's 154-position model. The record is from RNAcentral.
GAUGAAGAACGUAGCGAAAUGCGAUAAGUAAUGUGAAUUGCAGAAUUCAGUGAAUCAUCGAAUCUAUGAACGCACAUUGCGCCCGCCAGUAUUCUGGCGAGCAUGCCUGUUCGAGCGUCAUUUCAACCAUCAAGCCCCAGGCUUGUGUUGGAGCCCUGCGGCUGCCGCAGCCUCCCAAAACCAGUGGCGGGCUCGCUAUCACACCGAGUGCAGUAGUUUACUCUUCGCUCAGGGCGUGUGGCGGGUGCUAGCCGUGAAACCCCCAACUUCUCAAGGUUGACCUCGGAUCAGGUAGGAAUACCCGCUGAACUUAAGCAUAUCAAUAAGCGGAGGA